UACGUAGGGGGCGAGCGUUGUCCGGAAUGACUGGGCGUAAAGGGCGUGUAGGCGGCCGAUUAAGUCUGGAGUGAAAGUCCUGCAGUUAAAGUGGGAAUUGCUUUGGAUACUGGUUGGCUUGAGUGCAGAAGAGGUAAGCGGAAUUCCCAGUGUAGCGGUGAAAUGCGUAGAGAUUGGGAGGAACACCAGUGGCGAAGGCGGCUUACUGGGCUGUAACUGACGCUGAGGCGCGAAAGCGUGGGGAG
Molecule: ribosomal RNA, 245 nt
Filed under: uncultured Clostridia bacterium
Lineage: Bacteria; Bacillati; Bacillota; Clostridia
Description: partial 16S ribosomal RNA
Rfam family: Bacterial small subunit ribosomal RNA
Source: RNAcentral